AACGAACGCUGGCGGCAUGCCUAACACAUGCAAGUCGAACGAGACCUUCGGGUCUAGUUGCGCACGGGUGCGUAACGCGUGGGAACCUGCCCUUAGGUUCGGAAUAACUCCCCGAAAGGGGUGCUAAUAACGGAUAAUGUCUUCGGACCAAAGAUUUAUCGCCUUUGGAUGGGCCCGCGUUGGAUUAGCUAGUUGGUAGGGUAAAAGCCUACCAAGGCGACGAUCCAUAGCUGGUCUGAGAGGAUGAUCAGCCACACUGGGACUGAGACACGGCCCAGACUCCUACGGGAGGCAGCAGUGGGGAAUAUUGGACAAUGGGCGAAAGCCUGAUCCAGCAAUGCCGCGUGAGUGAUGAAGGCCUUAGGGUUGUAAAGCUCUUUUACCCGGGAUGAUAAUGACAGUACCGGGAGAAUAAGCUCCGGCUAACUCCGUG
Molecule: ribosomal RNA, 433 nt
Filed under: uncultured bacterium
Lineage: Bacteria
Description: partial 16S ribosomal RNA
Rfam family: Bacterial small subunit ribosomal RNA
Source: RNAcentral